CCUACGGGUGGCAGCAGUGGGGAAUAUUGGACAAUGGGCGAAAGCCUGAUCCAGCCAUGCCGCGUGUGUGAAGAAGGCCUUCGGGUUGUAAAGCACUUUCAGUGGGGAAGAAAGCCUUGGGGCUAAUACCCUCGAGGAAGGACAUCACCCACAGAAGAAGCACCGGCUAACUCCGUGCCAGCAGCCGCGGUAAUACGGAGGGUGCGAGCGUUAAUCGGAAUUACUGGGCGUAAAGCGCGCGUAGGCGGUCUGUUAAGCCGGUUGUGAAAGCCCCGGGCUCAACCUGGGAACGGCAUCCGGAACUGUCAGGCUAGAGUGCAGGAGAGGAAGGUAGAAUUCCCGGUGUAGCGGUGAAAUGCGUAGAGAUCGGGAGGAAUACCAGUGGCGAAGGCGGCCUUCUGGACUGACACUGACGCUGAGGUGCGAAAGCGUGGGUAGCAAACAGGAUUAGAUACCCCAGUAGUC
Molecule: ribosomal RNA, 465 nt
Filed under: Vreelandella stevensii
Lineage: Bacteria; Pseudomonadati; Pseudomonadota; Gammaproteobacteria; Oceanospirillales; Halomonadaceae
Description: partial 16S ribosomal RNA
Rfam family: Bacterial small subunit ribosomal RNA
Source: RNAcentral